This is a long non-coding RNA of Lagopus leucura (white-tailed ptarmigan), 378 nucleotides long. RefSeq lists it as uncharacterized. Lineage: Eukaryota; Metazoa; Chordata; Aves; Galliformes; Phasianidae. The record is from RefSeq and is a predicted model, not a curated record. The transcript has 3 exons.
GACAAGGGACAGGGAGGACAUGGUACGGACUCUGCCAGUUUUUAAUUUAACAAGUGACCGGUAAUACCUUGUGACUGUGAAGCAAGUUGUGUCUUUACAUCUUACAAGGGAAGGAACUGGACUGCAAAAAAUGUAGAGCUUCACUGAAGUAAAGGAAAUAUUUCUUUAAUCCUAGCAGUUGGAGAUGAAACCUUGGAGACCUAGUUUAAGCAUAAACAUGCUUUGUGGCUUCACCACCUGACUCUUCAGGCAUCCUUCAGGAGGAGCAGUACCCAGAGCUGAAUUCUCUUUUUGUAAUAGUCACGUAGGUCAGGAUUGAAACCCAUCAGGCUUUACCCAGAUACAACAGUGGAUAAUCAGAUGUGAAGACAAAUGUAG